This 497-nucleotide ribosomal RNA is filed under the name uncultured bacterium. Its description in RNAcentral is "partial 16S ribosomal RNA". It matches the Rfam family "Bacterial small subunit ribosomal RNA", at positions 28 to 507 of the family's 1533-position model. The record is from RNAcentral.
GAUGAACGCUGGCGGCGUGCCUAAUACAUGCAAGUCGAGCGAACAGACGAGGAGCUUGCUCCUCUUACGUUAGCGGCGGACGGGUGAGUAACACGUGGAUAACCUACCUAUAAGACUGGGAUAACUUCGGGAAACCGGAGCUAAUACCGGAUAAUAUAUUGAACCGCAUGGUUCAAUAUUGAAAGACGGUUUUGCUGUCACUUAUAGAUGGAUCCGCGCCGCAUUAGCUAGUUGGUAAGGUAACGGCUUACCAAGGCGACGAUGCGUAGCCGACCUGAGAGGGUGAUCGGCCACACUGGAACUGAGACACGGUCAAGACUCCUACGGGAGGCAGCAGUAGGGAAUCUUCCGCAAUGGGCGAAAGCCUGACGGAGCAACGCCGCGUGAGUGAUGAAGGUCUUCGGAUCGUAAAACUCUGUUAUUAGGGAAGAACAAAUGUGUAAGUAACUAUGCACGUCUUGACGGUACCUAAUCAGAAAGCCACGGCUAACUACGUG